AUGAAGAUGGCGACUUGCAUUCGUAAGGUGGCCUCAGAGGAGUUUGGAGUGUCCAGGGGAAGGAGAAGUGAAGAUAAGGAUACCUGGUGGUGGAAUGAUGAUGUCCAGAAGGCGAUUAAAGAGAAGAAAGAUUGCUUCAGACGCCUAUACCUGGAUAGGAGUGCACACAACAUAGAGAAGUACAAGAUGGCGAAGAAGACCGCAAAGCGAGCUGUUGGUGAAGCAAGGGGUCGGGCGUAUGAGGACCUCUACCAACGGUUAGGUACGAAGGAAGGCGAAAGGGACAUCUAUAAGAUGGCCAAGAUCCGAGAGAGGAAGACGAGGGAUAUUGGCCAAGUCAAAUGCAUCAAGGAUGGAGCAGGCCAACUCUUGGUGAAGGACGAGGAGAUUAAGCAUAGAUGGCGGGAGUACUUCGACAAGCUGUUCAAUGGGGAGAAUGAAAGCUCUACCAUUGAACUGGACGACUCUUUUGAUGAGACCAACAUGCGUUUUGUGCGUCGAAUCCAGGAGUCUGAGGUCAAGGAGGCUUUAAAAAGGAUGAAGGGAGGCAAGGCGAUGGGCCCGGAUUGUAUCCCCAUUGAGGUGUGGAAAGGUCUCGGGGACAUAGCGAUAGUAUGGCUAACCAAGCUUUUCAACCUCAUUUUUCGGGCAAACAAGAUGCCAGAAGAAUGGAGACGGAGUAUAUUAGUACCAAUCUUCAAGAACAAGGGGGAUGUUCAGAGUUGUACUAAUUACCGUGGAAUUAAGCUGAUGAGCCAUACAAUGAAGCUAUGGGAGAGAGUCAUUGAGCACCGCUUAAGAAGAAUGACAAGCGUGACCAAAAACCAGUUUGGUUUCAUGCCUGGGAGGUCGACCAUGGAAGCCAUUUUCUUGGUAUGA
Molecule: ribosomal RNA, 879 nt
Filed under: Triticum aestivum (bread wheat)
Lineage: Eukaryota; Viridiplantae; Streptophyta; Magnoliopsida; Poales; Poaceae
Description: partial small subunit ribosomal RNA
Source: RNAcentral